CACAAAAGUUAAUACACACAGGGAGAGAGGAAGACCAGGUGAGACGGAGGGAAAGGUCAGAGAGAGAAAGACCAGGUGAGAUGGAGGGAAAGGUCAGAGAGAGAAAGACCAGGUGAGACGGAAGGAAAGGUCAGAGAGAGAAAGACCAGGUGAGACGGAAAGAAAGGUCAGAGAGAGGACAACCAGGUGAGACGGAGAGAAAAGUCAGACAGAGGAAGAACAGGUGAGAUGGAGGGAAAGAUCAGAGAGAGAAAGACCAGGUGAGAUGGAGGGAAAGGUCAGAGAGAGAAAGACCAGGUGAGAUGGAGGGAAAGGUCAGAGAGAGGAAGACCAGGUGAGAUGGAGGGAAAGGUCAGAGAGAGAAAGACCAGGUGAGAUGGAGGGAAAGGUCAGAGAGAGGAAGACCAGGUGAGACGGAGAGAAAAGUCAGACAGAGGAAGAACAGGUGAGAUGGAGGGAAAGAUCAGAGAGAGGAAGAACAGGUGAGAUGGAAGGAAAGGUCAGAGAGAGGAAGACCAGGUGAGACGGAGGGAAAGGUCAGAGAGAGGAAGAACAGGUGAGAUGGAGGGAAAGAUCAGAGAGAGGAAGAACAGGUGAGAUGGAAGGAAAGGUCAGAGAGAGGAAGACCAGGUGAGACGGAGGGAAAGGUCAGAGAGAGGACAACCAGGUGAGACGGAGGGAAAGGUCAGACAGAGGAAGAACAGGUGAGAUGGAGGGAAAGAUCAGAGAGAGGAAGAACAGGUGAGAUGGAAAGAAAGGUCAGAGAGAGGACAACCAGGUGAGACGGAGAGAAAAGUCAGACAGAGGAAGAACAGGUGAGAUGGAGGGAAAGAUCAGAGAGAGGAAGAACAGGUGAGAUGGAAGGAAAGGUCAGAGAGAGUAAGACCAGGUGAGACAGAAGGAAAGGUCAGAGAGAGGAAGACCAGGUGAGACGGAGGGAAAGGUCAGAGAGAGGACAACCAGGUGAGACGGAGGGAAAGGUCAGAGAGAGGAAGAACAGGUGAGACGGAGGGAAAAGUCAGACAGAGGAAGAACAGGUGAGAUGGAGGGAAAGAUCAGAGAGAGGAAGAACAGGUGAGAUGGAAGGAAAGGUCAGAGAGAGGAAGGCCAGGUGAGACGGAGGGAAAGGUCAGAGAGAGGACAACCAGGUGAGACGGAGGGAAAGGUCAGACAGAGGAAGAACAGGUAAGAUGGAAGGAAAGGUCAGAGAGAGGAAGACCAGGUGAGACGGGCUGAAGGGUCAGAGAGAGGAAGAACAGGUGAGAUGGAGGGAAA
Long non-coding RNA from Epinephelus fuscoguttatus (brown-marbled grouper), 1275 nucleotides. RefSeq lists it as uncharacterized. The record is from RefSeq and is a predicted model, not a curated record. NCBI's taxonomy places the organism in Eukaryota, Metazoa, Chordata, Actinopteri, Perciformes, Serranidae. The transcript is spliced from 3 exons.